UUUGUUACAAAAAUCAUUCCAUAGUCUUUCAAAAAUAAUAUGAUGUAUUCAGUCCAGACAGUUAAACUGUAGGUCUUAAUAGUUUUCAUUGACUUUUUUCAACAGUAUGGCUGGGUGUAAUAAACUAUACCAAUCCGAGCCAAUUAUUGGACAUGAUUUUUUGGUUUACAUAAAUAAUAUAACAUAAAUUGAAUAUAUUGGAUCAUGUUAAACACCCUUCAUCUACAUGAAGCGUCAUCUAUAUUUGAUAUGUCACUACCAUUAUCUUCUAUCUUAUCAUCGAAACUAAUGCCAAUAAUAUCAAAUGAUGGGACAUUUGAAAUGUAGUCAUCAUUACAUAAACUGUCUUCGUAAGGGAUCAAGUAGGCAAACAAGUCAUCAACUUCCUCGUUCAAUAAUGGAGAUGAUGGGAAUGAAACCUCGUUCAAGUUCGGGAAAUGAACCGGUGAAAGGAUUUCUGACUACUAGAUUGAUCUACAACAUUAUCAUCUGAAUCAAUUACGAUGUUGAACAAAUUGGUAUUCAAGAAGGGAUAUGGUAAUACUCUACAAAUUUGUAUGUAAAUUGUUCUUUUAGAUGAAGUGUAGAAAUAUGUUAGAAGUUGGAGGCUCACGAUGAAAGACUAAACCUCAAAAUUGUUUCAAUGUAUUAUAGUACACAACUAUUUGCAAUUAUUGUGUUCCAUUUAUCAACUUUUUUUUUUUGGGGUCAAUUUCAUUAAUCAUACAUUCAUUUGGUGUGACCUUUUUAUCUACAUAUUUCAAUAAUUCGUUUUCUUUAAUUGAUAUCACAUUUCAAUAUGGCAUUAGUGGUAGUAUUGUUGAUCAUCUAACUUAUUUACAAACGUUUCCGUACAAAUGAUAUCUCGACUGUACAACCUGCUCAUAAUAAAAAUGUCUUUUCACCUAUGAAUAUGAACUAAAUGAACAUAAAACUAAGUUGUUCGACGUACACAUUAUGAUAUGAUUUCAAAAAUAAUACAACAAAUUAUAAGUCCAAAAGUAAUGCAUAAUUAACGAAAUUCUAUUACGUACUAUUCUUCCCUCUUUUCCGGCUACUCCUAAUGUAGGGAGUUCGAAAUCCAUCUACAACUCAAUUAACAUUAAAAAUUUCAAUUUUAGAGAAUGAUUUAACAUGCAAUGAAUUCAUACAACACAUAUUAAAGCAACUCAAACACAUUUUCAUUUUAUUGUGACUUUCAAGUAAUUCAUUCAAAUUGACGAGAAAUUCAGUAACCAUCUGUCGAGAAUAUUGAUAGAUUUUCUCGACAAAUGUUCCAUCUAUACUUUAAAGAAACUCUUCAGAUGCGAACAUGAAUCGAAUGUUUCGAUCCACAAUGACCAUAUAAUGAACUACAUUGCAAUAAAUUGAAUCAAUCAUAGAAUAGAUCUCAUUAUCAUUGAAUGAACCAAUGAAUGAAUCACAUUACUUAAGCUAUGAAUCAACAAAUUAAAACAAUAUAUCAAUCUAUAAAUUCAACUUACAUUGCUAAACCUAUAAUGGUCAUGUAUAUUCUAAUAAACUACAAUGGACAUUCAUAUUCUAAUAAACCAUAAAAUCAACCUACAUUCGAAGCACACCCUCAUAAAGUUUCAAUGAAAUCCUUUACAUUAACUCAAUAUAUGAGAAAAUAAACCACAAUUGACAUGUAUAAUCAUGCUACAUAUUCAGGCUCAAAUUCAGAUGGGCACGAAAUAUUAACUUGUUUAAACCACCAUUUAGGGUAUAUCUGAUUAUAAAUAUGAAAUUUAUAUGGAAAGAAAAUAAAUUUUAAGCAAUUAAAUUUCUUAGAACUUAGUUGUAUGAAAAUUGUCAAUUAAAUGUGUUUAAUUGAGUUAAUUUUCAACAUAAAAAAUGUUAUAUUUGUCCAUUUUUAUUGGUGGGUAGAUGAGAGAGAAAGAUAGAAUUACUUGAAAAUUAAAAACUUAUUCUCCUAUAGAAAAUAUUUUCCUUGUUUUUCAAGGAAAUUGUGAUUAUGUAAUUAAAAGUAGGAAAAUAUUUUUCAUGUAAAAAAUAUCAACAAAAUAGUACAAAAGUAAAAAUUUGGUGAAAAAUGACAUUUUUAAUUAAAAACAUUAGCAAUCAAACGCACCCUUAUUGGAAGGGUGUGUUAGGAAAAACAUAAAUAAAAUUUAUAUUUUAAAACAUGUGCAAAGUAUUGAUUUUUCACUUAAAAAAAUCAAUUUUUUGAUCGUUAUAUCACUAUUCAAAUUAUCAUUUUUUACUUCUUCUCUCACAGAUAAGACCUAAUUUUCUUUUCAACGAUCAAAAGAUCAAUUCUCAAAAUCAGUAUCAGACAAACCCUAUAUAAUAGAUGUGAAAAUGAAAGUACGAAAGGAGUAUUAUUAGCCCUCGUUUGGCCCCCCAUUAUUGGAGAUUAUAGUUAUUGGAAUAAUGUUUUUUAAAAAAAUGGGUUAAAAAAAAAAACAUUUUGAAUUUAUAUGUAAUAUCAUUUUAUUGGAGAAUGUGUGGUUGAUAAGAAAAGAAGGAAAAAUGAAUUAUAAUUUUAAUGGAAUCAAACAGUGAUAAUAAAACGGGAGUUUCAGGCUUUGGGAAAAUUGAAGCAGUGAUCUCUAACCUUUUCAAUUUUUGCAGAUUUUACCUUAACCUUCAAUUUGAACUAGCGAAAGUCUCAAACUUUUCAUAAAUAUGCACCUGAAGUCCAACUGAAUGGAAAUCAUCUAGAUGACCAAGAAAAGUGAACUUGAACCAAAUUAAAAUGGGUAAAAUAGUAACUUUGCUUAUUUUCAAAUAUUGACAAUUAAAAUAAUAAGACUAAAAACAAAAAAUAAAAUGAAAUAAAAUAAAAUAAAUCUACCCCCAUCCCACUCUCAAAUUCAAAACAUACCCAGAAAAAGGGAGGAAAUGAAAAUCCGCCCCCGAUCAGAAGUAGCUAAUUCGGCGUAAUAAAAUAGCAUUUAGCAACUUUUUAGCAAAACUCCAGAAAAAAUUUUCCUUUCGAAAUCAAAUCGAUGUCCAAAGCUUAGAAAAUCAGAGUAAAGACAAAUCAAUAAUUUAAGCUUGGUCGAAUUAAAUUAAGUUAAAAACUGAAACACGUUAAAUUCAUCUUAUUACCUUGCCGGCUACAAAUUGGAGUGUAUUUGUAGGAAGGUGCAAGAUCUCACAAAAAUAAAGCUAUGACUAAAUUCCUAAAAAAUGAAGCUGUGGUAGCAAGAGGAGAUCAAAAGUUGAAAAUCAAAAUUGAUAAAGAAAAAAAUCGAAAGAAAUUGAUGCUCAAACUCUGAAUUCUUUGUGCCAACUUAAGUCAAGUUUGGAUUUAACAUUUUCACAGUAAUUAAUUGGACAUAUCUUUCAGUAAGAAUUUUUAUUUUUCUUUUUCUUUUGGGAAUUUUCUUUUGUUUCUUUCAUUUUAAAGGAGUGUGAAUAUGGCUUUACAAUGAUUCAUUUGGGAAUGGGUUUUAAAGAUUUGAAAGGUAAUUUUGAAGAUGGUAGAUGGUUUACGUGUGUUGAGUAUGAAGAGAAAAUGAAAUGCCACUUGGAUAAAACAGGUCAGCAACCCCACCUCAAGCCAUGUCAACAGCAAAACAUUCUAGAAGAUGAGAGACCCAGCAAGUUGCAUAAG
Molecule: long non-coding RNA, 3583 nt
Filed under: Olea europaea subsp. europaea
Lineage: Eukaryota; Viridiplantae; Streptophyta; Magnoliopsida; Lamiales; Oleaceae
Source: RNAcentral